CCUAGACAAUGAAUACGUGCUCUUUUAUUGCACUCCUCUCUCUGGUAGAUGUUUGAGUUUUCCGUAAUUAAAAGCUUUGAAAUAGCAAGGCUAACAUAAAUAUAAAUUUUCAGAAAUGCAAAGACUUAUAUUUACAAUGCCCACUGAUUGUUAUUUAAAAUAGUCAAAAAAGUAAACAAUACAAUGUCAAACAAUGAUGUUGAAACAAAUUGCACUUACACAGCAGAGUAGUGUGAAGCUGUAAAAAUCACAUUUUCACGUACAAUUGAAUGCCAUGGUGGCAUAUUCAUACACAUUAUGUUCAACACAAAAAAGUUUUUUUAACUUGAUCCCAAUUCCACGAGAGUAUGCAUAUUUGCAUUAAAAAUACUGAAAGAAAUGCAACAAAAUGUUAACAGCAUUUACCCCUGGGUAAUGAGAUUAUGAUUGGAUUUUAUGUCUACUUCUCCCUUUUGGUUAUGUCCACAUUGGAAAAAAUUUCAUGAUAAAUCACACAUGACAUGUUAUCAAUCAAUUAGACAAGAGAGGCCUGGAGGAAGAGAGGCAGGAAGCAGACACAGACAGCAGGAAGUGUGACUAAACUUACGUAUGCAGGAGGCUCACUGCCAGCUUUAUAGAAGCAAGACCACAGAGCCACCCAGCUCCAGGGACACUGCAAAGGGCCUGACAGGUGGCAGGAAGAACAAGAGCCAUUUCACCAGCAGGAAGGGCCCCAACAUGCAGUCUGGACUGCCUGCUCUCUUGUGCACAGUGGUGGCCUUCAUCCUCUUCGGUUCCAGCAAUACACAGAGUGUCACUCAAACUCCAGGUCCAGUGAAUAAACAAGAGGGAGAAUCUGUGAGCUUGCACUGUAGUUUCACACUCAGCUAUACUUACUAUGUGAUGAGCUGGUUUCGACAGCUUUCCAAUGGAAAGAUGACUGAAAUCAUUUAUCUUUAUUCUGAUAGCACAAACACCAAGAAAGGACGAUAUUCUGUAUCUCAUCAGAAAGGAAACAAAGCCCUAAGUCUCACCAUCACAGGCUUGAUGCCUACAGACUCAGGUGUCUAUUUCUGUGCUGUUGGAGAAGAUCCACGGUGAGAAGAGUGACGGGGAGAGCCUUACAAAAACCCCCUGGGCUCAGCAUGAAACAGCCACCUGCUCCAGGAGCUUAGGAGAAAA
This is a non-coding RNA of Herpailurus yagouaroundi (jaguarundi), 1161 nucleotides long. The record is from the annotation of a RefSeq genome assembly. NCBI's taxonomy places the organism in Eukaryota, Metazoa, Chordata, Mammalia, Carnivora, Felidae.